This is a small nuclear RNA of Ictalurus punctatus (channel catfish), 164 nucleotides long. Its record names the gene U1. It matches the Rfam family "U1 spliceosomal RNA". From Rfam's summary of the family: U1 is a small nuclear RNA (snRNA) component of the spliceosome (involved in pre-mRNA splicing). Its 5' end forms complementary base pairs with the 5' splice junction, thus defining the 5' donor site of an intron. There are significant differences in sequence and secondary structure between metazoan and yeast U1 snRNAs, the latter being much longer (568 nucleotides as compared to 164 nucleotides in human). NCBI's taxonomy places the organism in Eukaryota, Metazoa, Chordata, Actinopteri, Siluriformes, Ictaluridae. The record is from Ensembl.
AUAUUUCGAUCCACGAAAUGAUGCCACGAUCAAGAAGGCGGUUCGUCCAAGGCGAGGCUCAGCCAUUGCACUCAGGCUGUGCUGACCUUUGCGAAUUCCCUAAAUGUGGGAAUCUUGACUGCAUAAUUUCUGACAGUGGGAGACUGCGUUCACGCUCUCCCCUG